GUGUCCAUAGCUCAGCUGGAUAGAGCAACGGCCUUCUAAGCCGUGGGUCGGGGGUUCGAAUCCCUCUGGACACGCCA
Molecule: transfer RNA, 77 nt
Filed under: Cellulosilyticum sp.
Lineage: Bacteria; Bacillati; Bacillota; Clostridia; Lachnospirales; Cellulosilyticaceae
Description: tRNA-Arg
Rfam family: tRNA
About the family: Transfer RNA (tRNA) molecules are approximately 80 nucleotides in length. Their secondary structure includes four short double-helical elements and three loops (D, anti-codon, and T loops).
Source: RNAcentral